This 367-nucleotide long non-coding RNA is filed under the name Homo sapiens (human). RNAcentral describes it as "non-protein coding LINC00920:5". The record is from RNAcentral. Lineage: Eukaryota; Metazoa; Chordata; Mammalia; Primates; Hominidae.
AGGAAGUGAAUCUUCACAGGGAAGGAAGCAACAAAACUCUGCCUUUGGCUUUUGCUGGCUGAGCAGGGAAAGGCCUAUAGACACAGGGCAUUGGGCAGGAGCUAGAACAGCCCUCCCUAGAGCACUACAUAAAGCAGCCAAUAUUUUGCAAAGCAUAGGGAAGAGUGAAAGUCAUCCGGGGCAUUUGCAGACACAGCACUAAGAACUUGGUGACAACAGCCCUGAAGCAAAACAGCAGCAUGUACUGGGCAGGGCUUGGGAGAUAAGACAGGACAUCUGAAGCUAAACAUGGAAGGAGGGAAGGGAAGGAGGAAGAAAAUGUUAAAAGAUCGUUUUUUAAGGUAAAAAUCAUAACUCUUUACUCAUA